GAUGAACGCUGGCGGCGUGCCUAAUACAUGCAAGUCGAGCGAACGGACGAGAAGCUUGCUUCUUUGAUGUUAGCGGCGGACGGGUGAGUAACACGUGGAUACCCUACUUAUAAGACUGGGAUCACUUCGGGAAACCGGCGAUAAUACCGGAUAAUAUUUUGAACCGCAUGGUUCAAAAGUGAAAGACGGUCUUGCUGUCACUUAUAGAUGGAUCCGCGCUGCAUUAGCUAGUUGGUAAGGUAACGGCUUACCAAGGCGACGAUGCAUAGCCGACCUGAGAGGGUGAUCGGCCACACUGGAACGGAGACACGGUCCAGACUCCUACGGGAGGCAGCAGUAGGGAAUCUUCCGCAAUGGGCGAAAGCCUGACGGAGCAACGCCGCGUGAGUGAUAAAGGUCUUCGGAUCGUAAAACUCGGUUAUUAGGGAAGAACAGAUGUGUAAUUAGCUGUACACAUCGUGACGGUACCUAAUCAGAAAGCCACGGCUAACUACGUG
Molecule: ribosomal RNA, 497 nt
Filed under: uncultured bacterium
Lineage: Bacteria
Description: partial 16S ribosomal RNA
Rfam family: Bacterial small subunit ribosomal RNA
Source: RNAcentral